Molecule: unclassified non-coding RNA, 306 nt
Filed under: soil metagenome
Description: partial contains 5.8S ribosomal RNA, internal transcribed spacer 2, and large subunit ribosomal RNA
Rfam family: 5.8S ribosomal RNA (bases 1-120)
Source: RNAcentral
GAUGAAGAACGCAGCGAAAUGCGAUAAGUAAUGUGAAUUGCAGAUAUUCGUGAAUCAUCGAAUCUUUGAACGCACAUUGCGCCCUUUGGUAUUCCAAAGGGCAUGCCUGUUUGAGCGUCAUUUCUCCCUCAAACCCUCGGGUUUGGUGUUGAGCGAUACGCUGGGUUUGCUUGAAAGAAAGGCGGAGUAUAAACUAAUGGAUAGGUUUUUUCCACUCAUUGGUACAAACUCCAAAACUUCUUCCAAAUUCGACCUCAAAUCAGGUAGGACUACCCGCUGAACUUAAGCAUAUCAAUAAGCGGAGGA